Molecule: ribosomal RNA, 429 nt
Filed under: Bacillota bacterium
Lineage: Bacteria; Bacillati; Bacillota
Description: Firmicutes bacterium partial 16S ribosomal RNA
Rfam family: Bacterial small subunit ribosomal RNA
Source: RNAcentral
UAGGGAAUCUUCGGCAAUGGACGGAAGUCUGACCGAGCAACGCCGCGUGCGUGAAGAAGGUUUUCGGAUCGUAAAGCUCUGUUGUUAGAGAAGAACGUUGGUAGGAGUGGAAAAUCUACCAAGUGACGGUAACUAACCAGAAAGGGACGGCUAACUACGUGCCAGCAGCCGCGGUAAUACGUAGGUCCCGAGCGUUCUCCGGAUUUAUUGGGCGUAAAGCGAGCGCAGGCGGUUCUUUAAGUCUGAAGUUAAAGGCAGUGGCUUAACCAUUGUACGCUUUGGAAACUGGAGGACUGGAGUGCAGAAGGGGAGGGUGGAAUUCCAUGGGUAGCGGUGAAAUGCGUAGAUAUAUGGAGGAACACCGGUGGCGAAAGCGGCUCUCUGGUCUGUAACUGACGCUGAGGCUCGAAAGCGUGGGGAGCAAACAGG